RNAcentral lists this ribosomal RNA (223 nucleotides) under uncultured bacterium. RNAcentral's name for it is "partial 16S ribosomal RNA". It matches the Rfam family "Bacterial small subunit ribosomal RNA", at positions 16 to 230 of the family's 1533-position model. The record is from RNAcentral.
AUCAUGGCUCAGGAUGAACGCUAGCUACAGGCUUAACACAUGCAAGUCGAGGGGCAGCAUGGUCUUAGCUUGCUAAGGCCGAUGGCGACCGGCGCACGGGUGAGUAACGCGUAUCCAACCUGCCUUACACUCUUGGACAGCCUUCUGAAAGGGAGAUUAAUACAAGAUGUUAUCAUGAGUAAGCAUUUUCGCAUGAUUAAAGGUAUUCCGGUAGACGAUGGGG